This 696-nucleotide ribosomal RNA is filed under the name Ceratobasidium sp. BB0078_1_A. RNAcentral's name for it is "eukaryotic LSU rRNA". The stretch from base 236 to 399 matches the Rfam family "5.8S ribosomal RNA". The record is from RNAcentral. Lineage: Eukaryota; Fungi; Basidiomycota; Agaricomycetes; Cantharellales; Ceratobasidiaceae.
CAUUUAGAGGAAGUACAAGUCGUAACAAGGUUUCCGUAGGUGAACCUGCGGAAGGAUCAUAGUAAUCGUCUUUGACGUUCUAUUCCGUCCGUCCUCGGGACGUUAAGGUGCUCUGGUCGAGGAUAAAGGACCCCUCUGACCGAGGUUAAGCGGUCGCUUUCCGUGUUACCUCUCCGGAGGCACACGUUAAAGAUCGUUCCGCGUUGUGAGUCUAACACCAGUUGUAACUUUUUACAACCGGCAGCGCUGGAUCCCUUGGCACGUCAUUCGAUGAAGACCGUUGCAAAUUGCGAUAAAGUGAUGUGAUGCGCAAGUCCACCACUUAUACGUGAAUCAUCGAGUUGUUGAACGCACUGCACCGCGCCCUAAACCGGCUGCGGUAUGCCCCUUUGAGCGUCAUUGCAUUCCUUCGGGAGUCUUUUCCUUGCAAAAGACCCGAGUUCGGAGUCCUCGGUCUUCGGAUCGUGUUCUCUUAGAUGCGUCGCGCCGAUCGCCUGAUGGGUACUCUAAUGCCUGAGCGUGGAGUCCCUCUGGGUUGAGACGCGCUUGACCGGCCGUUGGGCUCGCGUCGCCAAGUCCGCGUCCUCCGGGACGUCGGUACUACAACACAUGACCUCAUCGGGGUAGGACAACCCGCUAGACUUAAGCAUAUUAAUCAGCGGAGGAAAAGAAACUAACAAGGAUUCCCCUAGUAAC